Molecule: long non-coding RNA, 2390 nt
Filed under: Gallus gallus (chicken)
Lineage: Eukaryota; Metazoa; Chordata; Aves; Galliformes; Phasianidae
Description: lncRNA (ENSGALG00010005907.1)
Source: RNAcentral
AUGUCUUCCUGGAGAUUGCUCUUUGUGGAGUUUUUGUGAGCCUGCAACAUUGAGGUAAUGUUCUGGAUGUAGCUUGCUUCAGGCAUAUGUAUUGGCUGUUUGGCAUCCAUUGCUAAGGAAGAACAAGUUGGUAUUGAUGCUGAAAGGCAAUGUCCUACUCUCACCUUGCCAUGGGCAAAUUAUUCCUCAUCCUCUGCAUACCAGUUUCUUAUGCCAUACAAAGAACAAGAGCGAGGAAAUGGCUUGGUUUAAAAAACUAACCCAGAAAAGAAACAAAACAAAAACAACUAAUAAUCUUAUCCUGGAGCACCUUAUCCAUCUGAUGGAGUGGAAGCACAGAACAGCAUCAGCCACAGGCUCAGUGGCAGUGCCGGCAUCUGCUUAUCCAAAGUGAGUGUACAUCACUUGCCCUAGAGGCAGCAGAAUGCACAUCUCCCUUUCUAUUUCCUUUCCUUGGAGUCACAUCUAAAUUUUCUAAAUGAGAACUGCGUAAUUCAAAGCACGUUACUUUCUGACUCUGCAAUCCAGAAAAUGAUCAAGAAAUGUGAACUGUGUUGAGUCACUGUAGUGAUCCACUGCUUGAAACCCAACAGCACUAUUACUACUAAUAGCACACAUUAACUGUUUCAGAACUAAUCUGCAAAUUUCUAUCAAUUCUGUGUGCUAGUCAGAUAAAUGAAUAUAUAUGCACAUACAAUGUUCUUCUUGAUAACUUCUUUUGAUAUUUUUCUUGAUUAAAAAGCAUAAUAACACAAUACAUAGCCUGAGAACUACAGAAAAUUAGAUAAUUCUACCAGCAAAUUUUGAGUUAGGGUGAAGAUGAAGCAAUAGGGAAAUUGGAAGAUAUAGAUCCCUGUUAUUCUGUAAAUUUCUCUGUAGAAAAGAAAUAAUAAUUUCCUUGAAAACUAUGAUAUUCCUCUCCAUUUAAGUUCUCUCUCACCCUAUAACAAUUUCUUAAUACUACAUCUGUUAUUUACCAGUGCCUUUUCUGAACUGACAGCCUCAUUCUUCCAGACACAGUGUUCCUCCUGCAGCUUGUUUGCCUCAUGGUGAUGCAUCCCCCCAGGCCCUCUGUGAGCUCCCAUUCUCAGAUGUCCUACCCAACUUUUGUGUCUCAUUUUCUAUCUCUGAACCAACUACAGGCACUUAUGGUCUCCCCUGACUUUCUCAAGUCCCCAUGACUCUUCUACUUCUGAGCUCCUCUUUCACACCAUCCCAUUGGGGUGGAGUACUCAUAAGGUGCUCCAAGGUGAUGAUGCAAAAUGCCCAGGCCUGCCCAGGUAACCUCACAGUUUCCUUGUCUGCUCACUCCAUUGCCUUUCCUCCUUUUGAAGGUAAGGCAAGCUGAAAAGCACAGAAAAAGGUAGGAGGACACAACUGCCCUACAGAGUUAAGCUCAGCACAUGUCCUCACAUCCUGAAACACAAUCAAACCAACAGAGUAUUGCCAUGUUCUGGGCUACUCUUUCUCUCAACCUCCUGUUUUGUCAUAAGAAGUGUGACAGUGAGAUAAAAUAUAGUCAAUAAAAGUACCUCUGUAGCAAAGAUUCAGCACUUAGACCAUAAGACAAAAUGCUCUGCAGUUUCUCUCUUGGUGGAAUGCUUUAACAAAUACUGUUUUUUAAAAUUCUUUUGAAAAUGACUCAUUUGGUCUCUACACUCUAAAAUGAAAUUAUUGGGACUGCAGUCAUUUUCUUAUUCCCAUAAUAUAAAGAGGAAGUAGAGCUGUAUGUAUCCAUCAACAUUCCAGACGACCCUCGAUACCGUUGCUUCCUCUUGCAUAAAUUUCAAAAAAAGAGAAGUUUUCUGGUUACGUGAGAAAUUUAAUAGUUUAAAUUUUAUUUGUUGAACAGUCUGGAUUUCUAACCAUCCAUGAAAUCCAUUCCUUGCAGAAGGUGAGCACAAAUUUCAUAAUAUAUAGAAGUUUCUGAUAGCUGUCUCCAACUUAUAUAUUUCCAUUUAAAUAAUUUCCCAAACUCCUGUGACACUUUGCCUCAUCACUAUACUCAGUAAAGUUUGUUUUGUUUUCCAAAAGUUAAGAGGACUUAUUCAAUAUUUAUUAUCUGUUACUUAUCAACUUUUUGUCAUGUCAGCUUUUCAGUUUACUUUCCUUGCUUUUUUUUGUCACCUGUGUUAUUUUUCUAUAACCUGUCUCUCAACAAAGAGAUGCUAAAAGAAAAAUGGUAAAGAUAUUGAAAAAACACUGCAGGAAAGAAGGUGUAGUUUUGCAUGAUUCUUUUGUCUCAGCCAGCUUUUUCUAUGCUUAUUUGGGGUAAAGAUUACUGUCCUAUUUAUACCAUCUCACUCAAAUUUGUAAGAUUAUUGUUGCAGCAAAUAUUUCUCAUAUUGAAAAAAAGACAGUAUCUAGUUGCAAAUGGUUUUCAUGUCACU